AACGCACCUUGCGCUCCUUGGUAUUCCGAGGAGCAUGCCUGUUUGAGUGUCAGUGAAUUCUCAACCCCUCUCGAUUUGCUUCGAGCAGGGAGCUUGGAUGGUGGGGGCUGCCGGAAUCUUUCUUUGACUUCGGCUCUCCUGAAAUGCAUCGGCUUGCGACGAGCUUUUCGAAGUUUGCGCGACAAGGCUUUCGGCGUGAUAAUGAUCGCCGUUCGCCGAAGCGCAUGGUACUAAUCGAAGUGCUUUUUGCGUGCCUCUAACGCGUCGACUUUGCGAUGCCUUCCGGCGUCGGGGUCUUCCUCUUUGACUCUUGACCUCAGAUCAGGUAGGACUACCCGCUGAACUUAA
Molecule: unclassified non-coding RNA, 348 nt
Filed under: uncultured fungus
Lineage: Eukaryota; Fungi
Description: partial contains 5.8S ribosomal RNA, internal transcribed spacer 2, and large subunit ribosomal RNA
Rfam family: 5.8S ribosomal RNA (bases 1-52)
Source: RNAcentral